RNAcentral lists this ribosomal RNA (472 nucleotides) under uncultured bacterium. Its description in RNAcentral is "bacterial SSU rRNA". It matches the Rfam family "Bacterial small subunit ribosomal RNA", at positions 335 to 802 of the family's 1533-position model. The record is from RNAcentral.
ACUCCUACGGGAGGCAGCAGUGGGGAAUCUUGGGCAAUGGGCGAAAGCCUGACCCAGCCAUGCCGCGUGUGUGAAGAAGGCCUUAGGGUUGUAAAGCACUUUCAGCAGCGAAGAAAUGCGACGAGUUAAUACCUCGUUGUCUUGACGUUAACUGCAGAAGAAGCACCGGCUAACUCCGUGCCAGCAGCCGCGGUAAUACGGAGGGUGCGAACGUUAAUCGGAAUUACUGGGCGUAAAGCGCGCGUAGGCGGAUAGGUAAGUGGGAUGUGAAAGCCCCGGGCUCAACCUGGGAACUGCAUUCCAAACUGCCGAUCUAGAGUUUGGUAGAGGGAGGUGGAAUUUCCUGUGUAGCGGUGAAAUGCGUAGAUAUAGGAAGGAACACCAGUGGCGAAGGCGGCCUCCUGGACCAAAACUGACGCUGAGGUGCGAAAGCGUGGGAGCAAACAGGAUUAGAUACCCUGGUAGACUGUCA